GUGUAGCUGAGUUAAUUUUAUUUAUUUAUUAUUUUAUGAACCUUCCCAAAACAUUUUUAUUUCUAUUUUGUCGAAUUAACAUGUCUGCUGACAUGGCUAUUUCUGUUUUGACUGCUUUUAUUUUUGGUUCCUAAUGUAAAUAUUGUUUUGGGGGAAACGUUAUUAGUGUUGCACAAAGCAAUGUUCAGUGACGUAGCUGCAGCAGCCAGGCAGAGGCUGCCUAACGGAGCUGCUGGACUGUGACAGUGAUCGUCUAUCAUACCUGGUGCUGAGUGUGUUCCACUGUCUUAUAGGUAU
Xiphophorus couchianus (Monterrey platyfish) is the source of this 297-nucleotide long non-coding RNA. RefSeq lists it as uncharacterized. The record is from RefSeq and is a predicted model, not a curated record. Lineage: Eukaryota; Metazoa; Chordata; Actinopteri; Cyprinodontiformes; Poeciliidae. The transcript has 2 exons.